This 917-nucleotide ribosomal RNA is filed under the name uncultured bacterium. RNAcentral describes it as "bacterial SSU rRNA". It matches the Rfam family "Bacterial small subunit ribosomal RNA", at positions 563 to 1499 of the family's 1533-position model. The record is from RNAcentral.
AAGCGUGCCGAUUGGUGGUUGGUCAAGUUUUUCGUUAAAGCCCGCGGCCUAACCGCGGAAGCGCGAAGAAUACUAGCCGACUUGAGGGACAAAGAGGUGCCUGGAACGAAUGGAGUAGCAGUGAAAUGCGUUGAGACCAUUCGGAACACCAAAAGCGAAGGCAGGGCACUGGGUGUCACCUGACACUACUAGGACGAAAGCGUGGGGAGCGAAUGGGAUUAGAUACCCCAGUAGUCCACGCUGUAAACGAUGCUGACUAGUCAUCGGGGAGUGUCGACCCUCCUCGGUGGCGUAGCUAACGCGUUAAGUCAGCCGCCUGGGGAGUACGGUCGCAAGACUAAAACUCAAAGGAAUUGACGGGGACCUGCACAAGCGGUGGAGCAUGUGGUUCAAUUCGAUAGUAAGCGGGGAACCUUACCAGGGCUUGACAUGUAUCUGCAGAUCCAGCGAAAGCUGGACUCCUUCGAGGGUGAUACACAGAUGAUGCACGGUUGUCGUCAGCUCGUGUCGUGAGAUGUUGCCUUAAGUGGUAGAACGAGCGCAACCCUCAUUGUCCGUUUUAUUGUGUCGGACAAAACUGCCAGCGUUCAAGCUGGAGGAAGGCGGGGAUGACGUCAAAUCAGCGUGUCUCUUACGCCCUGGGCUACACACGUGCUACAAUGGGUAGUUACAAUGGGACGCAAAACCGCAAGGUGAAGCAAAUCCCCCAAAACUACCCCCAGUUCGGAUUGAGGGCUGCAACUCGCCCUCAUGAAGCCGGAAUCGCUAGUAACCGUGAAUCAGCCUCGUCACGGUGAAUACGUUCUCAGGUUUUGUACACACCGCCCGUCACGUCAUGGAAGUCGUGGGUACCCAAUACUCGCCGCAAGGUGAAUUAAGGUAAACGCGAUGACUGGGACGAAGUCGUAACAAGGUAA